RNAcentral lists this non-coding RNA (29 nucleotides) under Rattus norvegicus (Norway rat). The record is from RNAcentral. Lineage: Eukaryota; Metazoa; Chordata; Mammalia; Rodentia; Muridae.
UAAUAUUUGCAUAAACUUUGCCAGGCCUU